Molecule: ribosomal RNA, 253 nt
Filed under: uncultured bacterium
Lineage: Bacteria
Description: partial 16S ribosomal RNA
Rfam family: Bacterial small subunit ribosomal RNA
Source: RNAcentral
UACGUAGGGUGCAAGCGUUGUCCGGAAUUAUUGGGCGUAAAGAGCUCGUAGGCGGUUUGUCGCGUCGGCUGUGAAAACCCGAGGCUCAACCUCGGGCCUGCAGUCGAUACGGGCAAACUAGAGUGCGGUAGGGGAGACUGGAAUUCCUGGUGUAGCGGUGAAAUGCGCAGAUAUCAGGAGGAACACCGGCGGCGAAGGCGGGUCUCUGGGCCGUAACUGACGCUGAGGAGCGAAAGCGUGGGGAGCGAACAGG